UCGCUGCUCAUUGAGUAGCUCAUAUAUUAAACUGAUUUUUGGAAACUGGCUGUGGAAUAAGCGGCUUGCUGCGUCCCAGCCACGGGUUGUCUCGGUAUUGCACUACCUCCGAGUACGGCCCCCUUCCC
RNAcentral lists this small nuclear RNA (128 nucleotides) under Nematostella vectensis (starlet sea anemone). RNAcentral describes it as "U2 spliceosomal RNA". It matches the Rfam family "U2 spliceosomal RNA", at positions 66 to 192 of the family's 192-position model. Rfam says of the family: U2 is a small nuclear RNA (snRNA) component of the spliceosome (involved in pre-mRNA splicing). Complementary binding between U2 snRNA (in an area lying towards the 5' end but 3' to hairpin I) and the branchpoint sequence (BPS) of the intron results the bulging out of an unpaired adenosine, on the BPS, which initiates a nucleophilic attack at the intronic 5' splice site, thus starting the first of two transesterification reactions that mediate splicing. Lineage: Eukaryota; Metazoa; Cnidaria; Anthozoa; Actiniaria; Edwardsiidae. The record is from Rfam by way of RNAcentral.